GAUGAACGCUGGCGGCGUGCCUAAUACAUGCAAGUCGAGCGAACGGACGAGAAGCUUGCUUCUCUGAUGUUAGCGGCGGACGGGUGAGUAACACGUGGAUAACCUACCUAUAAGACUGGGAUAACUUCGGGAAACCGUUGCUAAUACCGGAUAAUAUUUUGAACCGCAUGGUUCAAAAGUGAAAGACGGUCUUGCUGUCACUUAUAGAUGGAUCCGCGCUGCAUUAGCUAGUUGGUAAGGUAACGGCUUACCAAGGCAACGAUGCAUAGCCGACCUGAGAGGGUGAUCGGCCACACUGGAACUGAGACACGGUCCAGACUCCUACGGGAGGCAGCAGUAGGGAAUCUUCCGCAAUGGGCGAAAGCCUGACGGAGCAACGCCGCGUGAGUGAUGAAGGUCUUCGGAUCGUAAAACUCUGUUAUUAGGGAAGAACAUAUGUGUAAGUAACUGUGCACAUCUUGACGGUACCUAAUCAGAAAGCCACGGCUAACUACGUG
RNAcentral lists this ribosomal RNA (497 nucleotides) under uncultured bacterium. RNAcentral's name for it is "partial 16S ribosomal RNA". It matches the Rfam family "Bacterial small subunit ribosomal RNA", at positions 28 to 507 of the family's 1533-position model. The record is from RNAcentral.